ACUCCUACGGGAGGCAGCAGUGGGGAAUAUUGGACAAUGGGCGAAAGCCUGAUCCAGCAAUSCCGCGUGUGUGAAGAAGGCCUGCGGGUUGUAAAGCACUUUCGGUUGGGAAGAAAAGCUCAGGGUUAAUAACCUUGGGACUUGACACUACCUUCAGAAGAAGCACCGGCUAACUCCGUGCCAGCAGCCGCGGUAAUMCGGAGGGUGCGAGCGUUAAUCGGAAUUACUGGGCGUWAAGCGCGCGUAGGUGGCUAGAUAAGUCGGAUGUGAAAGCCCCGGGCUUAACCUGGGAACUGCAUUCGAUACUGUCUGACUAGAGUAUGGUAGAGGAAAGCGGAAUUCCCGGUGUAGCGGUGAAAUGCGUAGAUAUCGGGAGGAACAUCAGUGGCGAAGGCGGCUUUCUGGACCAAUACUGACGCUGAGGCGSGAAAGCGUGGGUAGCAAACAGGAUUAGAUACCCUGGUAGUCCACGCCCUAAACGAUGUCAACUAGCCGUUGGGUUCGUAAAUGAGCUUAGUGGCSCAGCUAACGCGAUAAGUUGACCGCCUGGGGAGUACGGCCGCAAGGUUAAAACUCAAAUGAAUUGACGG
RNAcentral lists this ribosomal RNA (590 nucleotides) under uncultured Riftia. Its description in RNAcentral is "bacterial SSU rRNA". It matches the Rfam family "Bacterial small subunit ribosomal RNA", at positions 335 to 916 of the family's 1533-position model. Lineage: Eukaryota; Metazoa; Annelida; Polychaeta; Sabellida; Siboglinidae. The record is from RNAcentral.